GUUAUAGGGUCAAGUGACUAAGUGCAUGUGGUGGAUGCCUUGGCGAUUACAGGCGAUGAAGGACGUGAUAGCCUGCGAAAAGCUUCGGGGAGCUGGCAAAUUAGCUUUGAUCCGGAGAUAUCCGAAUGGGGAAACCCACCCUUAGGGGUAUCGCAUACUGAAUACAUAGGUAUGCGAGGCGAACCGAGUGAACUGAAACAUCUAAGUAGCUCGAGGAAAAGACAUCAACCGAGAUUCCGAAAGUAGUGGCGAGCGAAAUCGGAAGAGCCUAGUCUUCUUUAGCAUUGAACUUAUCAAAACAGCUUGGAAACGCUGGCCAUAGUGGGUGAUAGCCCCGUAUGAGAAAAGUUUUUUGUGGAACUAAGUAGACGAUAAGUAGGGCGGGACACGAGAAAUCCUGUCUGAAGAUGGGGGGACCAUCCUCCAAGGCUAAAUACUCGUAAUCGACCGAUAGUGAACAAGUACCGUGAGGGAAAGGCAAAAAGAACCCCGGGAGGGGAGUGAAAUAGAUCCUGAAACCGCAUGCAUACAAAAAGUCGGAGCCUGGAAACGGGUGACGGCGUACCUUUUGUAU
This 574-nucleotide ribosomal RNA is filed under the name Pseudomonadota bacterium. RNAcentral describes it as "Proteobacteria bacterium partial 23S ribosomal RNA". It matches the Rfam family "Bacterial large subunit ribosomal RNA", at positions 1 to 613 of the family's 2925-position model. The record is from RNAcentral. Lineage: Bacteria; Pseudomonadati; Pseudomonadota.